Molecule: ribosomal RNA, 678 nt
Filed under: bacterium enrichment culture
Lineage: Bacteria
Description: bacterial SSU rRNA
Rfam family: Bacterial small subunit ribosomal RNA
Source: RNAcentral
GCUUGCUUUGAACUGUUUUAGUGGCGGACGGGUGAGUAACGCGUGAGGAACCUGCCUUUCAGAGGGGGAUAACGUCUGGAAACGGACGCUAAUACCGCAUGACAUUUUGUUGCCGCAUGGUGAUAAAAUCAAAGGAGCAAUCCGCUGAGAGAUGGACUCGCGUCCGAUUAGCCGGUUGGCGGGGUAACGGCCCACCAAAGCAACGAUCGGUAGCCGGGCUGAGAGGCUGAACGGCCACAUUGGGACUGAGACACGGCCCAGACUCCUACGGGAGGCAGCAGUGGGGGAUAUUGCACAAUGGAGGAAACUCUGAUGCAGCAACGCCGCGUGAGGGAAGAAGGUUUUCGGAUUGUAAACCUCUGUCCUCAGGGACGAUAAUGACGGUACCUGAGGAGGAAGCUCCGGCUAACUACGUGCCAGCAGCCGCGGUAAUACGUAGGGAGCAAGCGUUGUCCGGAUUUACUGGGUGUAAAGGGUGCGUAGGCGGCACUGCAAGUCAGGUGUGAAAACCAUGGGCUUAACUUAUGGAUUGCACUUGAAACUGUGGUGCUUGAGUGAAGUAGAGGCAGGCGGAAUUCCCGGUGUAGCGGUGAAAUGCGUAGAGAUCGGGAGGAACACCAGUGGCGAAGGCGGCCUGCUGGGCUUUAACUGACGCUGAGGCACGAAAGCAUGGGUAGC